UGCUUGCUUUAGGCAACUGUUACGGUAGUCCAGUGUGUUCCUUGAGCUGAACUUUGUCUUAUGUGUUUUCACGUUCGCUAUUCUGUUAGCUUUCCUUGUGUUGUUUGUUUGUUCCUGCCUGAUUUAUUGGACAAUAAAUCAUCUCCUACCUGCACGCCUUCUUCGGAGUUCCUGUUGCGUCAUCGUCGGAAGAACCACCCGCACGCUGCAAAAACUGAAUUCUAAGUAUUGGAUGUCAAAGUUGACCAGCUUCUCGGUUUAUGGCUACAACCUUCCAUGCAGUUUCUCCGUUCCGAUGGUUGGAGGCCAGGAUCGUGUCGAUCUCUGGCUGUAGGAUGUGGACAAUCACCACUUCUACCAGCAGUGGGGAUACUCGCAACCUAAAGCGUAGGAAAAGUCGACAGACAGCUCCUUUCUUCAAAAUACUCCUAAAUUUUAAAGUAAAACUACAUUUAUUCUCUAUGAAAUACAUUUUGUGUUAAAAUGUUCAAAUGUCUGUUUAUUUUUGAUAGUGCACAUUAUUGAAAUUAAGCAAACUGCCAUUCAACCUAGAAAGAGCCUGGUCAAAAAAAAAUCCUGUUUUACAAAAAAAAAAAAACCUUGACCUUGAUUUCUGGUAUUUAAUCUUUUCAAGUAUUUCAGUUUUUGCAGUGUAGCUCCAAGGAUGAUUUUUAUUUUUAUGGAUUGCUGUUUGGACUCAGUCUGGGCUGUUUCCCAUGUAAGCAGAAGGCUCAAGGCUCAAAUUAGUUAUGUAGCACGCAGAACACAAACUAUUCAAAAUAAACUGAAAUGUUGGAGAUCAAAGCAGGGACGUUUUCUAUCUUGCUGUGGCUAUUAAGCAUUUUUUUUCCAUUGCAGUUUUUGCCAUUUUCUACAAGUCAUUUUUUUUUUUACAUUCAAACCAUCAAUUUAAAGCUCAUUUGGACUCCCUCUCGUUCCUUUUCAUCGGGCUUUCCAUGUUCUCUUUCUCCAUCCAACCAAUCAACUCCUUUCCAGCAAUCAUGCGCCAGCACCUGUGCCAUCUCAUUAGUUUGAAAAGACAGACUGCUUUCCC
Long non-coding RNA from Nerophis lumbriciformis (worm pipefish), 1054 nucleotides. RefSeq lists it as uncharacterized. NCBI's taxonomy places the organism in Eukaryota, Metazoa, Chordata, Actinopteri, Syngnathiformes, Syngnathidae. The record is from RefSeq and is a predicted model, not a curated record.